UGGGGAAUAUUGCACAAUGGGCGAAAGCCUGAUGCAGCAACGCCGCGUGAGUGAUGAAGGUCUUCGGAUUGUAAAGCUCUGUCUUUUGGGACGAUAAUGACGGUACCAAAGGAGGAAGCCACGGCUAACUACGUGCCAGCAGCCGCGGUAAUACGUAGGUGGCGAGCGUUGUCCGGAUUUACUGGGCGUAAAGGGUGCGUAGGCGGAUGUUUAAGUGAGAUGUGAAAUACCCGGGCUUAACUUGGGUGCUGCAUUUCAAACUGGAUAUCUAGAGUGCAGGAGAGGAGAAUGGAAUUCCUAGUGUAGCGGUGAAAUGCGUAGAGAUUAGGAAGAACACCAGUGGCGAAGGCGAUUCUCUGGACUGUAACUGACGCUGAGGCACGAAAGCGUGGGUAGCAAACAGGAUUAGAUACCCUGGUAGUCCACGCCGUAAACGAUGAGUACUAGGUGUAGGAGGUAUCGACCCCUUCUGUGCCGCAGUAAACACAUUAAAGUACU
RNAcentral lists this ribosomal RNA (498 nucleotides) under uncultured bacterium. Its description in RNAcentral is "partial 16S ribosomal RNA". It matches the Rfam family "Bacterial small subunit ribosomal RNA", at positions 355 to 868 of the family's 1533-position model. The record is from RNAcentral.